UCUUUAUUUGUUUGUUAUUUAAUCUGGGCUCAGCAAAGGCCAAGAGUCCUAGGAAAUGGCAUUUGUUGUUGCCUUUGGCCAUAUGAUGAAACCAGCACUGCCAAGUCUUUUCUUCUGUCUCUCAGAAGAACAUAGAAGUUAUCAUUCUAUUUACCUGAAAGCUCUUGAUUGUUGCUGAUUUCUUUUGUAGUAAGAAUGUCAUGGAGCCCCAAGAUCAAAAACUAUAAAGGACCGGAGGGAUCAUUUAAUCCUAUUCUCUCAUUUUACAGAUGAGGGCGUGAAGUGUUCAAAAUCAUUGUGAGUUAUCCAAGGUCACAUGAUUUGUUACAGAACUAUGAUUCAAAUGAGGGGGUCUUCUCUUUCCAAAGCCUCUGUUCAAGCCUUUCAAACACAUUACCUUUCUUUCUACAUGAAUUUGAUCCACUUUCUCUGAGGGCAUGCCAAUUUGGUUAAAGAUUUUGAAUUAAGCCAAUAAUUUAUUGCCAAUAAUUUAAGACUAUGUCUUAAAUAUUAUAAGAUAUUAUAGCAGAAAGCAGAUGAAUCUGCAGUCAUGGGACUUGGGUCUUAAUACCAGUUCAAUCACCAAAUCAUUUAUCCUCUCUGAGCUUCAGUUUACCUAUUUGUAAAAAUUAAAGAGUUAGACAAACUGACCUGUAGCUUUAACCCCAAUCAUCUAAGGAUUGUUAUUAUCAAUAACAGUAAACAAUUACAUGGGAGACCACAUGAUAGUAUAUAGAAGACUAAUCUUAGACACAGAAGUAGGAGGUUCAAAUCCUAUUUUUGACCCCAGAACUGACUUUGUGACUCUGGAAAAGUCAUUUAACCUCUGUUAUCGAUGAAUUGCACCAAUGGUUGUAUUAUCCUUAUGUAGAGGAGCAGUUCCCUAAAUAGAUUCACAUAUAGUCUCUUAAAAAGAAAAUAAAAAAGCUACCCAUCCCAUAGGAUUAGAGGUAACAUUAUGGUAGUAGCAUGAUGUUGUGGAAAGGACACAAGAUUUUGGAGUCAAUGGACCCAGAUUCAAUUCAAUCCAGACCCUGCCUCUGUCGAUUAUAAUCCAGAAGUCCUCUUCAACUUUUCUGGUCCUCAGUUCUCAUCGGUAAAAUGGCAGGGGCAAUACUUAUUUUGUGAGGCCUAAAUGAGAAAAGAAAGCAUCUUGAAAAUGGUAAAAUGCCAUGUUAAUAUACAUAUUUUAAUGUGAUAUGUUAAGCCUAUGGAUAUUAUUUGUAAUAUACUACAGUAUAAUAGUGAUUCACUUUUAUUAAUUUUGUUACCACAUUUACAAAGUACUUUAACUUUUAAAUUCAAUUUGUGUUUGCUCAGUCUGGUCUUUCCUCUUACAGAUGAAGAAAGUGAGUUCCCAGGUAGUUAAGUGAUUCUUCUAAGGUCACAAACAUAAGUAGCAAAGCCAGAAUCUGGGAACCAGGACCCUUGAUUCCAAAAUCAACAUUAUUGCUCCAAUUUUUGUGAGUUUAGUUUUCAGAAAGAUAGGGGAAAUGGAGGGAGGGAAGGAGAUAGAGAAAGAAGAAAAACAGAGACAGAGAGACAAUGAAGCAUAGAUGGAGACAAAAACAGAGAGAUGGUCAUAAAGAGGAAGACAGAAAGAAAAAGAGAAUGAAAGAGACAGAGAGAUAGUCACAAAGAGAUAGAUACAGAGAGAUUGAGAGAGAAGUGGAUAGAUGGAGAGAGAAAUACAGAGACAGAGAUGAGACUGGGAUAGAGGUGAAUAGUUGGGAGGGAGAAAGACAGAGACAGAGACAGUGACACAGACACAUACAGAGGGACAAUGAGGCAGAGAUGGAGGCAAAGACAGAAAAACAGUUAUAAAGAGGAAAACAAAGAAAUAGACUGAGAGAGACAGAGAGGAGAGAGACAGAUAGGGACAAAGAGAAAGAUACGUAGAUUGAGACAGAGGUAGAUGGAGAGGGAGAUACAGUACAGAGAUAGAUGGAGACUGGGAUAAAGGUGAAUAGACUGGGAAGGGGGAGAGAGAGACAGAGAUAGACACAGACACACAGAGAGACAGAGGCAGUGACACAGAGACACACAGAGACAAAAAAUGAGGCAGAGAUGAAGCAAAGAAAGUCACAAAGACAAAGACAGAGACUGAAAGAGACAGAGAGGGGAGAGACAGAGAGAUAGUGACAAAGAGAAAGAUAUAUAGAUUGAUUCAUACCUAGAUAGAUGGAGAGAGAGACAGAAACAGAAAGAAAGACAAAGAGACAGAGAUAGAGACACACACACAAAGAGACAGAAACAGAGACAGUCAAAAAGACAAGACAGACAGAAGUGGAUAGAUGGAGAGAGACAGGGACAAAUAAAGAGACAGACACAGAGAGACAGCAAUAGAGACAGUGACACACAGAGAGACAAAGAGAUGGAGACAAAGACAGUUACAAAGAGGAAAACAGAGAAAGAGACAGAGACUGAGGUAGAUAGAUGGAGAGAGAAAAAGUCAGAGACAGAAAUAGAAAGAAAGACAAAGAGAGGUGGAGAUAGAGACAGAGGCACACAGAGAAACAGAGAGAGACAGAGAGACAGAGACAGAAUCAGAGACAGAGAGACAAACUUAGAGAUGGAGAAACAGGACAGAGUUAGAAAAAAAGACAGAGAAACGAGAGAGACAGAGAGGAAGAGAGAUCUUUCCAAUGAUUCAUUUCUUUUUCAAAAGUUGCUUGCCAAAGUCUGCAGAGUUCUCUAGCCAUCUCAUUUCUAUUCAGGCAGAGGAAAGACUGGACAUGAUCCUUUAAUCCCUAGGUGAUGUGGCCCUCACUUCCCCAGUCAGACAAUGACGCUAUUUGAUUAGGCGAUUUGGCAAUUAGUCACGUGCCCAGUUCAAAAGUGACUCCUCUGUAAUGUACAUUCUGACUAACCGGCGGCUAAGCCGUUUCAUUGUGAUCUCGGUGUCAGUGGAAUUCUUGACACCUAUCCAACGGUUAAGUCAUGUUGCAUAAUUGCCAGAUGACAUCACCAACCUACGAGGUGAUUGGCCAGAGAAGAAAAGACAGCCCCCUAAAAGUUUCCCGGACUAUCGGCCUUUCCGGCGUCUGAACGAAAAACUGCUUGUCCCGGGACUCUGCGACAGCCAGACUGCGUUUAUCUGACGUGGUUUCUGCUCCUUGUCGGGGUUUUUGGGGUGACAUUGAAAACCUCAGACAGCACGAGAUGAGGCCGGCAGGCAGCUCCGGGGGAGACUCGGAUUCUCUCACAUCCCUAAUUGUUAGAACGGUCGACUCUUCUCCUUGAGGAGGGCCAAAGCCAAUCUUUGAGAGACUCCGGGAAAUCUGUAUAAGCAUCAUUCUGUCUCCAUGAUGAAGAGAGUGGGUUGUUCAUUAUUUACCAGCACAUGGCUGAUUCAUUUCUUCCAACAAUACAUCUACUUCUCUAUCAUUGGACAAGAAUCUCUCA
Antechinus flavipes (yellow-footed antechinus) is the source of this 3405-nucleotide long non-coding RNA. RefSeq lists it as uncharacterized. The record is from RefSeq and is a predicted model, not a curated record. The transcript is spliced from 3 exons. Lineage: Eukaryota; Metazoa; Chordata; Mammalia; Dasyuromorphia; Dasyuridae.